Molecule: ribosomal RNA, 497 nt
Filed under: uncultured bacterium
Lineage: Bacteria
Description: partial 16S ribosomal RNA
Rfam family: Bacterial small subunit ribosomal RNA
Source: RNAcentral
GAUGAACGCUGGCGGCGUGCCUAAUACAUGCAAGUCGAGCGAACGGACGAGAAGCUUGCUUCUCUGAUGUUAGCGGCGGACGGGUGAGUAACACGUGGAUAACCCACCUAUAAGACUGGGAUAACUUCGGGAAACCGUAGCUAAUACCGGAUAAUAUUUUGAACCGCAUGGUUCAAAAGUGAAAGACGGUCUUGCUGUCACUUAUAGAUGGAUCCGCGCUGCAUUAGCUAGUUGGUACGGUAAAGGCUUACCAAGGCAACGAUGCAUAGCCGACCUGCGAGGGGGAUCGGCCACACUGGAACUGAGACACGGUCCAGACUCCUACGGGAGGCAGCAGUAGGGAAUCUUCCGCAAUGGGCGAAAGCCUGACGGAGCAACGCGGCGUGAGUGAUGAAGGUCUUCGGAUCGUAAAACUCUGUUAUUAGGGAAGAACAUAUGUGUAAGUAACUGUGCACAUCUUGACGGUACCUAAUCAGAAAGCCACGGCUAACUACGUG